GGUCUCAAACUCCUAAACUCAAGCGAUCCACCCCCGCCUGGGCCUCCCAAAGUGCUGGGAUUACAGGUGUGAGUUGCCCCACCCAGCCGUGAUUAAUUUGGGCUUUCAACACCCUAAAAUGGGAGAAGGUGGUAGCAUAGAGUGUGUAUGACUGAUUGUAUUUACAUUUGUUGCAAUUUGAAGAAAUGUAGUUAGAAGUCCAUCUGCAGAGAGAUUAUGACCAUCGCUUCUGUCUGACCAAGGUCUGUUUUCCUGAUCGGUUGGAUGCCUCAGCGUGCAUUCCCAGGACUUUAUGAGAUGAUCCACUGAAGGAUUUCAGCAAGAACAUUCUGGAGUGUCAACUGAUACGUUUUUCAGUCUCAGCUUGCUCACUGUUUGAGUAGUGUCACAUGUACAUGCGUGUUAUUAGAGGCGAAUGCACGUUUUUGUUACUGAGAGAGUGGCCCUAGAGCAGAUGCCAGCGAACUGCAGCCCACAGCCCGAAUCUAGCCUGCCGCCUCUUUUCAUGUGGCUCACAAGCUAGUCAUAGUAUUAUAUUUUAAUAGUGUGGGAAAACAUCAGAAGAAGAACAAUAUUUUGUGGAACAUGAAAAUUAUAUGUUUACAUUUUAGCAUCCAUAAACGUGGUUUCAUUAGAACACACUUCUAUGGUUUGAAUGUCCUCUCCAAAACUCAUGUUGAAACUUAGUCUCUAACGUCACUAUAUUAAGAGAUAGGGCCUUUAAGAAGUGAUGGGGGCAUGGGAACUCUGCCCUCAUGAAUGGAUUAAUCUAUUCAUGGAUUAAUGGAUUAAUGCAUUAAUGGAUUGGUGGUUUAUCAUCGCAAGGAAACUGGCAGUUUUGUAAGAAGAGGAAGGGAGACAGUGGCAGGGAAACUGGCGGCUUUGUAGCAAGAGGAAGUGAGACUUGAGUCCUCUCACCACAGGUUGCCCUGCACCAACCACCACAGGACUCUGUAGAGAGUCCUGGCUAGCAAGAGGAUCUUCACCAGAUGUGGCCUCUUGACCUGAGACUUCUCAGCCUCCAUAACUGUUAAGUUUCCUGGAGAAUUCUGAAGGAUAUGCCCCCUUCCUCUCCUACAGCUCAGAGUUGUUCUGUGCACUUGGAUCAGCCUCCACAACUUCCCCCCGGGACAGGGCACCCAUCACCAUCUCCUACCUGGACAGCAGCAAACACUGCCCCCGUGACUUCCUGGUGCCAUCCUUGGCUCCAUUACGUCCAUUCUCCAGUGGCUGGCAGAGUGAGCUUGAAGAACGUGUGACAUGCCCUUCAGAAUGUUCUACUUCCUGUUCCAGAAGGACAGCCCCUCAUGCCUUCCCGCGGGCCACACGCCACCUCUUCCUCAGUGCCCCAGCCUGGCAUCCUCUUCCUGCAUUCAGCCUUCUUUUCCGAGGUGUCAUCUUGCUGGAGGGCAGAAGGAUUCCCUGGAACCUGGGGGCCAGCAGGACAGAGGAAACAGAAAGUACAUGACCGAUGAUGUCUUUCGACCACAGAAAGGGCUGGAAGAAGCAGGGGACCUACUGUUUGAAUAAACCCAGUGGAAAAACAGAAGCCCCAUUUCAUACUUGACUCAGCUCUUCAAGUUUAAAUCUUGAAUCUCCUCAACUACACGGAACAGUGUCUCUCCCAAGUCAUCUGACACCCACUCUGUUCUCUGGAUCAUUCCUUCCUAGAGAACGUUGCUCUUGGAGGGCUGUGAUCUGCUCUCACCCACUUGCCUUUCUGACCCACUGAGUGCAUCUCAACAGUCACUUGGGGUGAUCCGAUCUGACCAGGAAGGGUUGGGUGGCUCGUGGAGCUUGGGAAGCACUCUCACUGUGGCGGUCCCCAUUGGUGGUCAUGGGGUUGCCACAGUGAGCUACGUUUCUACCCUCAUCUCUCUAUAUGUUACCGUGGAAUCUCUGACUGAGGACCCAUGGGCUCACCCAAUGUGAUAAAGUCCUGAAGCUCAGCCGGGACGUCCGACCCCAGCUGCAGGACUUUCCAAUAGACAGAUGCAUAGAACUUGAGAAGAAAUCGACUUAGAAACCUGAAGUUGGAAAACUGGUUGCCUGACAUUCUGUGCAAGACUGAAUCUCUGAGAAAUGAAGGCUGUGUAACUUUGGGACCAUGUCUUUUCCAGCCUACAUAGACCCCCAGGAAACUUUGCAGUUGUUCCCCAAGUAUGGAUGGAGUCAAACUUGAUGUCCUUUCAUCCCCCCAUCCCAUCCACUAAUCCAUAUCCUUUGGAAAUUUUAGAGUGCCGGGCCUCAUGUAAAUACACCAAAAACAAUUUAAGUCAUUUAUGUUCUACUAAGCCAAGAGUUCUUUAGCGGUGGAAGAAGAUGGGGUCUUACACGAAUGGAAGGGUCUUGGCUAUUUGCGUCGGUAUCAACAGAAGGACUAGACGCUUGCACUAAAAGAAAAAGCUGAGGGAUGGGGGCAGGAAGCGGGAAGCUGGGACCCAAGCCCCACCUUCCUGAGUUGGAAGGUGACAGGUAGACUCCUGCUUGUUUGCCAGAGAGGCCUGGCAGAGGAGAACUAAAAUAAAAUCCGAAGUCCCCAAGUGACUGAACAGACCCCCUCUUGGCCAAGGGGACCCCAGAGAAACCUGAAAGCUGAGCUCCCAGCCAUGAGGGGACGGGCGAUCGGACACGCUUCAUCACAGUCCCUCCCCUUUGUGGUUUAAACGACGAUGAUCGGCUGUCAUGCUAAAAUAGAGACACGAGACCGACAGCACAGACUCCUUAUGGCAAUAAGACACCAAAUUAUAAGCAGCACCUCAGGCCACGCCAGGUAAGGGUCGAGCCGCGCACUCUACACUUAGAGAACGGACUCUGCUCUCACACCACAGCGUCUUCUUUUUCUUCAGCAGCUAAACACGCACCGGCCCCGAGAUUCAAACGACUGCAGCUCAUCCACCUGCAGACGCUGGCUGACCCCGUUCCACAGCUGUGACUAUAGCUUUGAUUGGACAAGAGGUUGAUUUCAGUCUCCUGGUAAGAGACCACCAACCAUAGACCUGGUUCAGGCUGAUUAUAGAAGCUGCACACUUGUAUGCCUUCGAGUCCCUGCCUCACCUUUUGACGUGUAGGGACUCAUUGUAAUGCUUUUAAAUGUGAAGCCUCCACCCCAAAGUGAACAUGGGACGCAUGUAACGUGCAUGUUCAGUGGGCACGGCUCAGGACUCUCUUUGUGAAUAUUCAUAGCUCCUCCUGGAACCUGAAUAUGUAUGUUUGGCCAGCUCAAUUCAGCAUGAGGCUCCUGCUGCAACACCGCCUCCUUCCAGGUGCCUGCCAGCUGUUUCUGCCAGAGGCUGCGUCUCCCGGCCUGUCAGAAUGGCCACCCUGCAGGCUGUAAUCCUUUAGAAGAAAUAAAGAUCCCCUUUCCAGAUGUAUAGAUCUUGUGAUUUUUUUCCAUUCACAUCCUUGCAUCUUAUAAUGCCCUGUCUCCAUGGGGGUUACAUAGAAAGCCCUCAGCCUCUAGGGCAGAUGGAGCCAGGACUGAGGGUGGGGGUGGAGAAGGAUCAGGAGACUCACUUCAAGGACUUUCUGGUGCCGGCAGUGUAGGCUUGCCAGAUGAAAUACAGGACACCCAGCAACAUGAACUUUCGUAAUUUUUAUAGUGUAAAUGUGUUCCAAAUAUUGCAUGGGACAUGCUUAUCCUGAAGAAUUAUUCAUUGUUUAUCUGAAAUCCAAAUUUAACUAGGUGUCCUGUAUUUUUAUUUGCUAAAUCUGGUGACCCUUCACUGGGGAGACGCUUUUAAACAGCCUCAACUUAGAAAUUCUUCUCUUCCUGCCAAAAGCGCUAGGGUCUGUAUAUGGGUGCAUGGAAACACGAAAUUAUUGUCACAGGACUGAAGAGUAUGAAAGACUUCUAGUAACCACCAGCUGUGGCAGGGGCCUGUGCAGGGGGUACCCUGGCAGGGAGGAAGCUGCCUUAAUUUUCAACCUCGGACAGAAAAGCGCAUCUGUUAGACACAGCAGAAAGCAGACCUACAUGUAUGGUUAAUAAGGACUAUGUAUUUGACUGCUGUGGGUUCAAUUGUGUCCCUGCGAGAGACACAUUGAAGUCCUAACCCCUGCUGCUUCAGCAUUUGGCUUUAUUUGGAAAUAAGGUCACUGCCAGUGCAGUUAGCUGAGAUGAAAUCAUACUGGUGUCUGGUGGGCCCUUAUUCCAAUAUGACUCGUGAUAUCACAAGAAGAGGAGGACAGACACAGAGACACACUCCAGAGGGAGAAGGCCAUGUGACAGCCACGGACUGCUGGAAGCAGCGGAAUCUAAAGGCAAGGCAGGGAACAGAUUCUCCCUCCCAGUCCUUCGAGAGAACCAACUCUGCCGACAGCUUGAUUUCAGAAUUCUGGUUUCCAGAACGGUGAGAGAAUAAAUUCCUGUUGUUUUAAGCCUCCCGUUUGUGGUGCUUUGUUAUGGCAGCCCCAGGGACUAAUGCAGUCACCGUCACUUGAUUGCAGACAAAACGACUGAGGGUUCUCUGCAAUGAAUUUCAAGUUCUGAAUUGAAAGAGGCUUCAGAGCCUGAAGAAAGAGGCGAUGCCAGCACUCUCUGGAGUGGGAUCCACAGAAGCAGAGAAAGCCCAGGGGAUGAGCCAACCCAGAAUCCAAACGCCCGUGGAUCGGGCCAGACCCAGGACGGCGCUAUCUUGCACACCCAUCACAGGCUUGGGGACACUAGAACUGCACUGUCAGAUAUUCCUGACUUCAUGUGUGUGUGUUUGUGUGUGUGUAGAUCAGGCCAUAUGAUUUACUUGCUGCACUCUGAGCGAUGCUGUGUAGAUAAAGCUAUAUUAUCUAUUUGCUACACUCUGAAUAAUGCCUUCCUCAGUGAUAAUCAUAAUCAAGUGAGCUUUGGAUUGUCAUUAUGAAGUCUCAAAUUAAAACAAUUGGUUGAGAUACUGCCAGCAAGGCAACUAGAUCGGGGAUUGCAGCUGCUGAUGCCAGUCUAGUAUUUAGGUAAGAGGAUGCCUCCACCCUCUUAGAGCAUGUGGCUUGCACAUCCAUUCUUUCAGUGCAGGAAGGGCUGGAGUGUCCACUCCCUACUCCCAACCCCAUCAGUUGUUGUAUGGUCCAAAAUGCAAAGUAAUUUUAAUGUGAUCCAAGAUGCAUAUAAAAACAUUUUAAAAACAGAUAUGUUAUGCAUUGCUUAGAAUGAUGCACCAUCCGCUUCAUGAACAAGCAAGAACUAACUCUAUCAUUGACUUCAUCCACAAAUACUAGAGGUGAUGAACUUGAGGUCAAAGUUCCGAAGUCAGACAGCAUGGGUUUAUUCAUCGCCUGCUAUGUGCAAAUCCUAGAUGUCACCAGGCUCUGCUCACUUGGUGUCUUGGCCACUCUGGGUGAUGUUUACACAAGGCUUGGUGGCUUUGAGAUGGGUUGCAAACAAGAGAUAUCAGUUGUUGGACUUUUGCUUAUAGCUUGGGGUUGGACAUCCUCUAUCCCUCGAUACCUCCUUGCACCCAUCAGCCGUUAUCUUUGAAGGAAACUUUUUCCUUGAGUCUGGUUCCUUGUCUUCAGGUUCUAACCUCAUGGUUUUGGAUCCUUGUCCCUAUGGUUGUGAUCCUUCCUGUCCUUGGCUCUAGUGCUCUUUUUUUUUUUUUUUUCUAUUUCUUUCCUCUACCUGUGCACAUGACCUCUUUGAAGAGCUCACCUCCUCCAGGAAGCCUCCCUGGAAUCACCCUUUUGCCUUCCAUUCUCCUUGUUUAUACAGUCCAUGUCAGUAUAUCCAAAUUGAAUUAUCGCGGUGUGCUGCUUUGCAAUGUGUAUCUGAUUUCACCAAAACCCUCUACUGUCUCUAAUCCCGGGUAUCCAAUUUCAUGUGAAGUUCAGUGAUGUGCUCCUCCCUCCUCCUCUUGCACGCAUGAGCAGGUACUCAACACUUUCUGGUCCAGCUACAUGUGACAUGAGGCCACUCACGCUCUUUUUAAUUAACCCUUAUGACAAUCAUGUGCGUUAUGGAGAAAAUUAAUGGAGGAAAAAUUACAGAGUCACCCGAAACAGUUGCGCUGCUUAUCACCCGGUGUUUGAGCCUGUUUCCCCUGUAAUUAGAUUACAUGUGAGGCAGCCCCAGCUAAUUGUCUGUGCCACCCACCGGGGAACUCCAGCUCUAUCUGUGAACACCCAGGCCUUCCCGCCGCAGGACAGAUGUUGGGUGAGGCUUGCCUCCCACGCAAACAUCUGCUCUGUUGUUCCGAGUCAGUCACGAGAGCCAGCCGGCUUAGACAAGCAGGGGAUGAAUUCCUGGGCGAGAUGCUUGAUCCUGCCAAGUUUCUGAGCACCAGGCUUGGGCCUCUUGAACAGUUCCCUGCAUCUUCCAUGAUCGGCCAGUGCCUCUGCUUCUGCAUUUAGAAACCAGAGUUCACUUCUGGUGGCCUCAAGCCAAAAUGAGUCUACGAACCAGAAGUCUCUUGACAUUGACACUGAUAAACUUUGAUAUGGAAGCAUUUUUGUUUUUGGCAACCAUCAAUUUUUUUUUGUUUUUCCUCAAACACAUGCAUGGAUGAUGUGAGAACCGGUACCUGGAAACUGAGAGACUGCCGCAUGUGUUUCGGGCUCCCAGCUCUAUCCAUAACUGUCUUUGGGGGCUUCCUAGGCAACCUGG
This 6592-nucleotide long non-coding RNA is filed under the name Homo sapiens (human). RNAcentral's name for it is "HSALNT0404206". The record is from RNAcentral. Lineage: Eukaryota; Metazoa; Chordata; Mammalia; Primates; Hominidae.